RNAcentral lists this ribosomal RNA (384 nucleotides) under Triticum aestivum (bread wheat). RNAcentral's name for it is "partial small subunit ribosomal RNA". The record is from RNAcentral. Lineage: Eukaryota; Viridiplantae; Streptophyta; Magnoliopsida; Poales; Poaceae.
AUGUUAAGGGAAUCGUACCCAAGUCUCCUGUUGACGUUGCUGGCUUCAUCCCCGUCAUGGGCCCAGCAGCUGCUGCAGUCUUAUCGCUCGAUUUCGUUGCUCGAAAUCCGCAGCUGGCUAUCGCGAGGAGGCCUCAGAAGAAACAGGAAAACUGGGGGGAAUCGCCGCCGCUACCACCGUGCACUCCCUCGCUCCGGUUAUCGCCGUCGCUCACUCGCGCGAGGCGGCCCCAAAGCUACAGAUAAGCGGGGAAUCAUCGCCACUGCCUCCGCGCACUCCCUCGCUCCGGCUGCCGCCGUCUCUCACUCACGCGAGGCGGCCUUGAAGUUACAGGUUAACUGGGGAACAUUGCCGCCUCCGUCGCUCGCUACUUGUAGGUUGUAG